This 329-nucleotide ribosomal RNA is filed under the name uncultured Alphaproteobacteria bacterium. RNAcentral's name for it is "bacterial SSU rRNA". It matches the Rfam family "Bacterial small subunit ribosomal RNA", at positions 1 to 359 of the family's 1533-position model. Lineage: Bacteria; Pseudomonadati; Pseudomonadota; Alphaproteobacteria. The record is from RNAcentral.
CCUUAGAGUUUGAUCCUGGCUCAGAACGAACGCUGGCGGCAGGCUUAACACAUGCAAGUCGAACGCGUGUAGCAAUACACGAGUGGCGCACGGGUGAGUAACACGUGGAUAUCUGCCUUUUGGUUCGGAAUAACUCCGGGAAACUGGAGCUAAUACCGGAUGGUUCCUACGGGAUAAAGAUUUAUCGCCAAAAGAUUAGUCCGCGCACGAUUAGCUAGUUGGUGAGGUAAUGGCUCACCAAGGCGACGAUCGUUAGCUGGUCUGAGAUGACGAUCAGCCACACUGGGACUGAGACACGGCCCAGACUCCUACGGGAGGCAGCAGAAGGG